RNAcentral lists this unclassified non-coding RNA (346 nucleotides) under soil metagenome. RNAcentral's name for it is "partial contains 5.8S ribosomal RNA, internal transcribed spacer 2, and large subunit ribosomal RNA". The stretch from base 1 to 120 matches the Rfam family "5.8S ribosomal RNA", at positions 35 to 154 of the family's 154-position model. The record is from RNAcentral.
GAUGAAGAACGUAGCGAAAUGCGACAAGUAAUGUGAAUUGCAGAAUUCCGUGAAUCAUCGAGUCUUUGAACGCACAUUGCGCCCCCUGGUAUUCCGGGGGGCAUGCCUGUCCGAGCGUCAUUGCUGCCCUCAAGCACGGCUUGUGUGUUGGGCCCCGUCCUCCGAUCCCGGGGGACGGGCCCGAAAGGCAGCGGCGGCACCGCGUCCGGUCCUCGAGCGUAUGGGGCUUUGUCACCCGCUCUGUAGGCCCGGCCGGCGCUUGCCGAUCAACCCAAAUUUUUAUCCAGGUUGACCUCGGAUCAGGUAGGGAUACCCGCUGAACUUAAGCAUAUCAAUAAGCGGAGGA